RNAcentral lists this unclassified non-coding RNA (339 nucleotides) under soil metagenome. Its description in RNAcentral is "partial contains 5.8S ribosomal RNA, internal transcribed spacer 2, and large subunit ribosomal RNA". The stretch from base 1 to 120 matches the Rfam family "5.8S ribosomal RNA", at positions 35 to 154 of the family's 154-position model. The record is from RNAcentral.
GAUGAAGAACGUAGCGAAAUGGGAUACGUAGUGUGAAUUGCAGAAUUCAGUGAAUCAUCGAAUCUUUGAACGCACAUUGCACCUCUCGGUAUUCCGGGAGGUAUGCCUGUUCGAGCGUCAUUUGUACCCUCAAGCUCUGCUUGGUGUUGGGUGUUUGUUCCGCCUCUGUGUGUGAACUCGCCUCAAAACAAUUGGCAGCCGGCGUACUUGUUUCGGAGCGCAGCACAUUUUGCGAUCCAGAUCAACGUACAGCGGCAUCCAAGAAGCCUUAUUUAACGCUCUUGACCUCGGAUCAGGCAGGGAUACCCGCUGAACUUAAGCAUAUCAAUAAGCGGAGGA